AAUUUGUUUUUUAAUUGAAAAAUAGUAUGAAUGGUUUUAUAAAAUAAAAGCUAUAAAAAAUUAAUAUUAAAAUUUUUAUUUUUAGUGAAAAUACUAAAAAACUAUUAUUAGACAAAAAGACCCUAUGAAACUGUAAAUAAAAAAUUAUAUUAUAUUUAAUAAAAUAAAUUUAUUUUUUGGGGUAAAAAAUAAUUAUUUUAUUUUAUUUUUAUUAAUAUUAUCCUUUUUGAAUUAAAAUAAAGUUCCUCUAGGGAUAACAGCAUAAUAAUUAUAAAAGUUCGUAUUAAAAUAAUUGU
RNAcentral lists this ribosomal RNA (296 nucleotides) under Euchirella rostrata. RNAcentral's name for it is "partial 16S rRNA". Lineage: Eukaryota; Metazoa; Arthropoda; Copepoda; Calanoida; Aetideidae. The record is from RNAcentral.